Long non-coding RNA from Vidua chalybeata, 2153 nucleotides. RefSeq lists it as uncharacterized. The record is from RefSeq and is a predicted model, not a curated record. The transcript is spliced from 5 exons. NCBI's taxonomy places the organism in Eukaryota, Metazoa, Chordata, Aves, Passeriformes, Viduidae.
UAUGAUGUUAGCCCCGGGGGAAGAGCUGGAGCAUGGAACGUUGGCACAGCAAGAAGUACAACAGCUGAACUGAGCACAUGGAAUUUUCAUACAUCUUCUUGCUUGAGGUUGUCAGAGAUGUGAGAAGAAGGGAGCCAAGGGACGAGCCAAGGGUGUUCAGAGCAUCUGAUGAGCUGUUUCUGCUUUGCCAGCCUUCUGUUUUCUCCUCUCCAUGGAGGAAGCCAUGGAGGCAUCUGACUCUUCCCAUCUACAGUCACAGCAGUCUUUAUGAGGUUGGCAGCUCCAGGAUCUGUGUGGCUGGAGACUGGCAAUUGUCUGUGAGAAGCAGGCAUAAAAUAUCAUCAGUCUCAAAAACAUGACCUAUGAGGAAAGGCUAAAGGAUCUGAAGAAGGAAAGCCUUUUUGAAAACAUUUGUUUUUAAAUACACAAAAUAUUUUGCUGUUAGGUGAAAUGGCCUCAUCAGUUCUCUGCAUUCAUUGCAGACCUGACAAGAAGUGAUGACUGAAACUCCAGCAACAGGAACAGUUUCCCUGCAAUGAGGAUGGCCACACAGUGAUGAAGUGAGGUGAUAGUAAUGUUACAUCUGGAAGUUCCAAGUUGGAGAUUAGGUCUUGCACUAAAACUCUACAAGUAUUGGAUGUGGCUGGCUGAGCCAGCAUUCUGCCUGGUCUCGCUGCUACCAUGAUGUUUUGGGGUUAUCCGUGAAGAAGUGAGAACAUUGGAUGCAGAUGGAUGUGCUCACAGCAGCUGAAGAAAACCUCAGAGGUGCAGAGCACAGGCCAGUGCAGGAUAAAGUGCCACCAUCACAAUCUGACCUUCACCACUUCUUGUUUUCUUGGCCCAUUCCUUUUUUAAUGCAUGGAGAAUCUUGGUCCUUGGUGCUUGAACCAUGGUCUCUUGGUGCUGAGUAGAGCUGGGCUGCAAGGAGAAAAUGGGACCUGGAGACUGAUGAAAGCAGGGAGCUGGAUGACUGAACAUCCCUGGUGCUGGAUACAGUGCAAAUAUCAAGAAAUGAGGAAACAAAUGCAGGUUUGAUGGAUCUUCCUCUAAAGUCAAUUAACAAACAAAUGCCUAUCCCACCUGCUUUUUGGAGUGGCUGAACCCACUUUUUAGGACUCAUGCACUGCAGUCAGGCACCUUUUUGAUGCUUCCAAAGGUGUGGCAGGCCCUGACUGGCCCCCAAGGCUGUAUCCACACUGCUCACCCUAUUUCUAUGUGUCAUUUAGCCUCUCCAUCCUUCAGAUUUUUUUCUUUUGUAUGUAUGUUUCCCAUUCAGAGCGCCCCAAUGAGGAAGGGCUGCUGAGUGGAGGUGUUACUGUAUGGCACUGGCAUGUCCCUUGGCAUGUCCCUUGGCAUGAAAACACCACCAAGGCUGUGAUUAUUUUGUGCACCUGAUGUGAGAGUCCGUACAGCCAUUCUUUGCUUUGACCAUUAACAAGGCCUGAUUUUAGUCCAAAACAAGCUUUCUUGAAACAAAAUAGUAAUUUUCCAGUCUUCCUGUGGAAGCCAAAAGUAUUUUAAGUUGGACUGGGCUGGCCUAAACACAGGGUGGGGAAGGAGUCAGUAGGUUUGGGACAUUUUAAUAAUGAAGAGAAGAAUGUGAAAGGAAGGAUUAAACAUGAUGUUUUAUGUGUAUUUAUUGAGUCAAUUUAUAAGGUGCCUUUUGCAAAAUAUCUUGAGCACUGCAUGGAAAACCACAAUGCAAAAUAUUUGAAAAAUCUGAACACGAAGCCAGCGUGUCCCAGCAUACAGCCAGGAAACAAAGGAGUUGGCACUGGGAGCAGUUCUCUAAUCACCAGGCCCCAGCAAAAGGAGAUCUAUGUCUGCAGGACAAGGGAGAGGCCAAUUAGAAGCCCAUUUCACCUGGCCAAGGCAAGAGCACAGAUGUUUGUGGCACAGUUUCUGUUAUGGGAUUUUCUCACUUGGAACUGAAGCAUGAGUUUUUGGCACGCUGCUGUGCUGAUGGCUUUUUCCUGUGAGAUGGCCAGAGCUGCCCCUCCAGCUGUGUGCCUCUGCGAAACCCUGCAGAGGGGCUGCCAAGUGCUCCCCAAAAUCUUCAUGAAGUCCAUGGGACACCUAUGUGGUGAGGAACACUAUAAAGGAUGCAUUGAACAAGAGCACUUUGAAGUCAUGGGUACUGGAAAAAUAUUCUG